AUGAACCGCUUUCGGGCGGGGAUUAGUGGCGAACGGGUGAGUAACACGUGGGCAAUCUGCCCUGCACUCUGGGACAAGCCCUGGAAACGGGGUCUAAUACCGGAUAUGACUGUCCAUCGCAUGGUGGAUGGUGUAAAGCUCCGGCGGUGCAGGAUGAGCCCGCGGCCUAUCAGCUUGUUGGUGAGGUAGUGGCUCACCAAGGCGACGACGGGUAGCCGGCCUGAGAGGGCGACCGGCCACACUGGGACUGAGACACGGCCCAGACUCCUACGGGAGGCAGCAGUGGGGAAUAUUGCACAAUGGGCGAAAGCCUGAUGCAGCGACGCCGCGUGAGGGAUGACGGCCUUCGGGUUGUAAACCUCUUUCAGCAGGGAAGAAGCGAAAGUGACGGUACCUGCAGAAGAAGCGCCGGCUAACUACGUGCCAGCAGCCGCGGUAAUACGUAGGGCGCAAGCGUUGUCCGGAAUUAUUGGGCGUAAAGAGCUCGUAGGCGGCUUGUCACGUCGGUUGUGAAAGCCCGGGGCUUAACCCCGGGUCUGCAGUCGAUACGGGCAGGCUAGAGUUCGGUAGGGGAGAUCGGAAUUCCUGGUGUAGCGGUGAAAUGCGCAGAUAUCAGGAGGAACACCGGUGGCGAAGGCGGAUCUCUGGGCCGAUACUGACGCUGAGGAGCGAAAGCGUGGGGAGCGAACAGGAUUAGAUACCCUGGUAGUCCACGCCGUAAACGGUGGGCACUAGGUGUGGGCAACAUU
RNAcentral lists this ribosomal RNA (749 nucleotides) under Streptomyces sp. Its description in RNAcentral is "bacterial SSU rRNA". It matches the Rfam family "Bacterial small subunit ribosomal RNA", at positions 69 to 833 of the family's 1533-position model. Lineage: Bacteria; Bacillati; Actinomycetota; Actinomycetes; Kitasatosporales; Streptomycetaceae. The record is from RNAcentral.